RNAcentral lists this ribosomal RNA (253 nucleotides) under uncultured bacterium. RNAcentral describes it as "partial 16S ribosomal RNA". It matches the Rfam family "Bacterial small subunit ribosomal RNA", at positions 524 to 776 of the family's 1533-position model. The record is from RNAcentral.
UACGGGGGGGGCAAGCGUUGUUCGGAAUUACUGGGCGUAAAGGGCUCGUAGGCGGCCAACUAAGUCAGACGUGAAAUCCCUCGGCUUAGCCGGGGAACUGCGUCUGAUACUGGAUGGCUAGAGGUUGGGAGAGGGAUGCGGAAUUCCAGGUGUAGCGGUGAAAUGCGUAGAUAUCUGGAGGAACACCGGUGGCGAAGGCGGCAUCCUGGACCAAUUCUGACGCUGAGGAGCGAAAGCCAGGGGAGCAAACAGG